CCAAUAGCGUAUAUUAAAGUUGUUGCAGUUAAAAAGCUCGUAGUUGAAUUUCGGGAUCAAGGAAUCGGUCAUGCCUCGGUAUGUACUGGUUUUAUUGGUUCUCACCUUCUAAAGAACCAUAAUGUCAUUUAUUUGAUGUUAUGGGGAAUUAGGACUGUUACCUUGAAAAAAUUAGAGUGUUUAAAGCAAGCUUACGCUUGAAUACAUUAGCAUGGAAUAAUGAAAUAGGACAUCCGAUUCUAUUUUGUUGGUUUCUAGGAUCGAUGUAAUGAUUAAUAGGGAUAGUUGGGGGCAUUAGUAUUCAAUUGUCAGAGGUGAAAUUCUUGGAUUUAUUGAAGACUAACUACUGCGAAAGCAUUUGCCAAGGAUGUUUUCAUUAAUCAAGAACGAAAGUUAGGGGAUCGAAGACGAUCAGAUACCGUCGUAGUCUUAACCAUAAACUAUGCCGACUAGGGAUCGGAUGAUGUUUAUUUUUUAGUGACUCAUUCGGCACCUUACG
RNAcentral lists this ribosomal RNA (499 nucleotides) under uncultured Glomeromycotina. RNAcentral describes it as "partial small subunit ribosomal RNA". It matches the Rfam family "Eukaryotic small subunit ribosomal RNA", at positions 591 to 1092 of the family's 1831-position model. The record is from RNAcentral. Lineage: Eukaryota; Fungi; Glomeromycota.